AUCGCUUCUCGGCCUUUUGGCUAGGAUCAAGUGUAGUAUCUGUUCUUAUCAGUAGAAAACCCUUCUUUCAGGAAAUCUAUGUCUUUGUUUCUCAAAAACACAUUUAUAUCGUGGUGAAACCAUUGGUCGACAUGACAAUUUUCCACUAUUCUCUGAACUUCUCUCAAUCAUUGGGAUAUUUACCU
This is a small nuclear RNA of Sorex fumeus (smoky shrew), 185 nucleotides long. RefSeq annotates it as U2 spliceosomal RNA. NCBI's taxonomy places the organism in Eukaryota, Metazoa, Chordata, Mammalia, Eulipotyphla, Soricidae. The record is from RefSeq and is a predicted model, not a curated record. The transcript has a single exon.